GGUGAAAGCAGGAGCAUCAUGAACAGGGGGUCCCCUUCUCUUCCAUCAUCACACUGGUGGGACAGCUCCGUCUGCUCGGACAAGGCCGGACUGGGGACAACCUAUAGACAGAGGGAGAGAGGAAAAGAAAAUCGGGGACUGUAUAGGACCUUUUGCGAAAGUGAUGCUCUAAGCAGAUACACACAGACAGACCAUCCAUUACUUUCAAGAACCCAAAUCUGAGGAGUGAUUCGUGCUUUGCUUGUGCUGCAUGAUCGAUUCCAAAGAAACUACAUCUGCACUCCAAAUAAAUUAUACUAAAAGAACAACAUGGAGGAUUACCAGGUUUCUUCUGAGUUAAGCUACACUAAGUUUAAGAUCUACUGUAUCCUGACA
Long non-coding RNA from Amphiprion ocellaris (clown anemonefish), 375 nucleotides. The record is from Ensembl. NCBI's taxonomy places the organism in Eukaryota, Metazoa, Chordata, Actinopteri, Pomacentridae.